Molecule: ribosomal RNA, 157 nt
Filed under: Hanseniaspora vineae
Lineage: Eukaryota; Fungi; Ascomycota; Saccharomycetes; Saccharomycodales; Saccharomycodaceae
Description: 5.8S ribosomal RNA
Rfam family: 5.8S ribosomal RNA
About the family: 5.8S ribosomal RNA (5.8S rRNA) is a component of the large subunit of the eukaryotic ribosome. It is transcribed by RNA polymerase I as part of the 45S precursor that also contains 18S and 28S rRNA.
Source: RNAcentral
AAACUUUCAACAACCGAUCUCUUGGUUCUCGCAUCCAUGAAGAACGAACCGAAUUGCUAUAAGUAAUGUGAAUUGCAUAUUCACGCGAAUCAUUGAAUUUUUGAACGCACAUUGCGCCCUCCGGCAUUCCAGACGGAAUGCCUGUUUGAGCGACAUU